UGACCGUUACCAGCUGCGUAAGGGAUGG
RNAcentral lists this small RNA (28 nucleotides) under Bombyx mori (domestic silkworm). Its description in RNAcentral is "ovarian small RNA-31628". Lineage: Eukaryota; Metazoa; Arthropoda; Insecta; Lepidoptera; Bombycidae. The record is from RNAcentral.